RNAcentral lists this ribosomal RNA (253 nucleotides) under uncultured bacterium. RNAcentral describes it as "partial 16S ribosomal RNA". It matches the Rfam family "Bacterial small subunit ribosomal RNA", at positions 524 to 776 of the family's 1533-position model. The record is from RNAcentral.
UACGGAGGGUGCAAGCGUUGUCCGGAAUCACUGGGCGUAAAGGGCGCGUAGGCGGCCUGAUAAGUAGGGGGUGAAAUCUUGCGGCUUAACCGCAAGGCUGCCUUCUAAACUGUCGGGCUAGAGCACAGUAGAGGCAGGUGGAAUUCCCGGUGUAGCGGUGGAAUGCGUAGAGAUCGGGAAGAACAUCAGUGGCGAAGGCGGCCUGCUGGGCUGUUGCUGACGCUGAGGCGCGACAGCGUGGGGAGCAAACAGG